Molecule: long non-coding RNA, 1043 nt
Organism: Helianthus annuus (common sunflower)
Lineage: Eukaryota; Viridiplantae; Streptophyta; Magnoliopsida; Asterales; Asteraceae
Exons: 8
Source: RefSeq, a predicted model, not a curated record
UUCGAUUUAUGAGCUAAAACUACCAUCUACCUGAUCCGAUAGGACUAAAUCAAACAACACAAAGCACAAAAGCCAGAAAUAGCUCACACACCCUCAUGGUCCUAUUAUAAUUUGUACCUGAUGCACCAACAGUUGUAAUGUAUCCAAUAUCAUUCUCACACCUAACCUCAUACUUUCUGCUGGCAAUUUCAUAUUGGUAUUAGAUUGUAGCUGUGGUCUUACUCGGAUUUGUUUUUGUCUUAAAUUUAUGCUUUGCUUCGUUUCUCGCCUUCCAAAUCGUGAGCAUUUUUUAUGAACCAUUCCACAUAUGAAGGAAGGCAAAAUAAGAAAAGGAAUGAUCAUUCCAUUUGAACCACAUUUAAUCACCUUUGAUGAUUUCAAAUACUAUGUAGAUAUGUCACAGUUUUUAUUUUUUAGGACGAGGACUCCGAAGAGCUUGAAAACAUCAUCAUCAAAAUAGAUGACGAGAAUGUAGUUUGCACAUACAAUGAGGUCGAUGUUUACAGUUGCUGCAUUUAAAGAUUUGGUUCAUGUUGUGAAGCUUUCAAUAUCAUCUGGUGUUAUAGUCUGAGCUAUGGUACAACGCGGUGCUGGUCUUACUUGCUGGAUACAUGGCGAAUGCAGAAAUUGCCAGUUUUGCCUUUUCCAUAUGCUUGAACAUCAAUGCAUGGGAGUUUAUGAUAAGCCUCGAUUUCAAAACCGAUGCCUCUUCUCCGUUCACAAUACCGAUGUCCCAUAUGCUCAAACUCGGUGUCUUAUAUGUCUGAUACAUGGCAAAGAUUAGACCAGCAGUCAAACUAGAUUCUUGAUGCAUGAGGGAUGAUGAUAUACCUCUUGCACAUUUUGCCAUUGCAUUCAGUCAAGUAUAAUGGAGUGGUCCUUAUUCAAUUGCCUUGAUGGUCAUACAAGCAAUGCUUGGAUCAUGGAACAAGACUACAAGAGAUAGCAAGCAUACAGGCAUGAUGGCAGUGUGGCUAAAUUCUACCAGUGGCGGCGGUUUCAAACAUAAUGUUCGGGCAAUAGAGGUGUGUACCCGGCUGUCG